AUUAAGCCUUAGCUCCAUCUCUGCAUUGCAAUCACUAGUCAUCAGAUUAUAAGGCCCUGGUUUCCUGUGUCCUGUUGGGCAACCACAUGAUAGAAUUUUAGUGCUAUUUCCUGGCAUAGCAGGAGGUGGAAGAGCAGGGGAAGAAACAUUAAUCUAACCAUGAAUUUUAUUUCCUUGUGUUUCUCACACUAAAAAUUGAGAGGAAAUCCAACUGCACAAGAGGACAGUCCCCAGUAAGGCCUGAAAACAAGCUCCUUGGUUGUGGACUUGCAGUUGCCUACUAAGUCCCAGGAAUCUGGCACAUGACGUGUAGCAAAAACCUGAGUACAAGAAGCUUUUUUGCUGUGGGUGGCCUUUAUUGACCUAUCCAUUUUGCAUAUUGCUCCACGGCACUCCGUUAUUGCUUCCUUUCUUUAAAUCGCUAAUUAGAUCCUGAUGAUUUCCAUGUGACACAAUGUGAGGACUGUGAGCUGCAAAGUGACCUUGUUGUGUGUGUGAGUUCGUGAAUACUGGGCUGUUUUAAGGAAAUAGGAGUGUGCUUUGCAUACUUGGCCCAAUUUAUAUUUCAACAAAAAGCAAUUGUAGAUGAAAUUAUUUUUUGCACUUUUUUGAUUUGUCUUUAAGUCCUGUCACUGCAAUUUUGUUUCUUAGGUUAAUUUGGAAAAAA
This 667-nucleotide long non-coding RNA is filed under the name Lynx pardinus (Iberian lynx). The record is from RNAcentral. Lineage: Eukaryota; Metazoa; Chordata; Mammalia; Carnivora; Felidae.